GCCGACGUAGCUCAGUUGGUAGAGCAACGGUUUUGUAAACCGUGGGUCGGGGGUUCGAAUCCCUCCGUCGGCUCCA
Molecule: transfer RNA, 76 nt
Filed under: Candidatus Fraserbacteria bacterium
Lineage: Bacteria; Candidatus Fraseribacteriota
Also listed under: 1 other name
Description: tRNA-Thr
Rfam family: tRNA
About the family: Transfer RNA (tRNA) molecules are approximately 80 nucleotides in length. Their secondary structure includes four short double-helical elements and three loops (D, anti-codon, and T loops).
Source: RNAcentral